CGGGCUUGGACUGGGUUUGGGGUUGCCGAGGCAACGGCACUUCUCAUAAGCGCCCUCCUUCCCCUUGAGAGAGGGCAGCGCUGGCUCCGCUCCAGCCAGAGGCCCCCAUCCCUCACAUCUCGCGCGGUGCACGCCUCCUUCAGCCCCACUCGCAUCUCCUCAGAGUUCCUGCUCCUCCUCAGGGCCCCCUUCUCCUCAAAGCCCUCGGUCCUCAGAGACCCUCACUCCCCAGAGCACCCCAACUCUUCCUCCAAGCCACCCCCUCCUCCUCAGAACCCCACACCUCUUAUAGCUUGAUCGACAGCCCCCAUUCAUUUCCAGAAGCCCCAAGCCCCAGACCCCUGCUCAGUCCCCCUAAUGCUCCCUGCAUCCUCAGCCCCAUCAGGUGGGCCACUGGGGCCCCUGGCUCUUCCUCUAGAGCUUUCCACGCCCCGUUCACCUGGCUAAGGCGGGGCGCAGGCGUGCGUGGUUGAUGGCAACGAGGAGAUUACAGUUCUGGGCAUAGAAAAUGCUACCACGUGGUUACCGAAUGAAGGAAGGAUGUUUACUGAGAGACUCCCCUGCAGUGUACCCCAAAUCAGAGCGAAUCCUCACAUCUUUGUUUCUAGUCCUUAGGACACAGCAUCGAAGGCUCCUAGUGCACAAGAAAAGGAACUGGGCGGUGGCUCAUGCCUGUAAUCCUAGCACUUUGGGCGGCAGAGGCGGGAGGAUCACUUGAGCACGGGAGUUUGAGACCAGCUUGGGCAACAUAGUGAGACCCCGUGGUGGUGCACGCCUGUGGUCCCAGCUAUUUGGGACUUGAGAGGCUGAAGUGGGAGGAUCACUUGGGCCUGGGAAUUUGAGGCUGCAGUGAGCCAUGAUUGCACCACUGCACUGCAGCCUGGUUGACGGAGACCAGGUCUCAAAAAAAAAAAAAAAAAAAAAAAGUAAUGGCCUGGACAUGAAUCUCUUCUCCAAAGUCACAGAACCUCCUGGAGCCUAUUUGCUAUGAGGACAGUCUCCAGAUGUGGGCUCAGUAAAAGGUCCUCAGCCUGCUGGCUGGGAGCCCUUCCAGGGUGGGGCCCACGUUCUCUCCAUUGCUGCUGGGGAGGAAAUUCAAACACCAUCUGGUAUGGCUGGAUUGGAGAGCGUCGGGAGACUCCAAAGGGGACGGCAGGGAGUGAAAAAUGAAAGACAUUGACCGAGUGUCUGGACAAUAGGGAAAGCUCUCUGAUGAAGGAAACCGACACUUGGCUCCAAUGACAGAAAGUAAUAGAUUGCAUGGGAGCCACGGAGACCAGUGCCUGUUCAAAAGGUCACCCACAAGCACAGCACUGCCCAGGAGGCCUGAACAGUAGUGGCCUUCAGGCUGGGUGCAGUGGCUGACACCUAUGAUCCCAACACUUUGGGAGUCUGAGGUGGGAGAUUACUUGAGCCCAGGAGUUCAAGACCAGUCUGGGGAACAUAGUGAGACCCCAUCUCUACAAAAAUAAAAAUUAAAAAAAUAGCUAAAUUAGCUGGUCAUGGUCCCAGCUACUUGGGAGGCUGAGAGCAAAACCUGCCCCCAACCCCAACAAAGUAGUAUCCUUCAGAGAACUUGGAGGGGUGGGCACUGAAAGCUUCAGGGACCAGCAGAGACAAAAAUUUGAAGCCACUUGGUGGAGACGGGAGAUCGACAAGAGGAAAUGGUCUCGAAGGAGACCCACGGGGUGCAGGUUAAAACCUGGAGGAGCUGAUGUGAACAGCCAGCUCAGAGCGCCUGAGACAGAGUUGCCUUUUUUUUUUUUUUUUUUUUUUAGACAGAAAUCUUACUCUGUUGCCCAGGCUGGAGUGUAGUGGCGUGACCUUGGCUCACUGCAACCUCCACCUCCUGGGUUCAAGCACUUCUCCUGCCUUAGCCUCCUCCUGAGUAGCUUACAGGCACCCACCACCACGCCCGGCUAAUUUUUGCAUUUUUAGUAGAAAUGAGGUUUCACCAUGUUGGCCAGGCUAGUUUCAAACUUCUGACCUCAGGUGAUCUGCCUGCCUCGGCCGCCCAAAGUGCUGGGAUUACAGGUAUGAGCCACCUCACCCGUCCCACUGUUGCCAUUUGGAGGUCAUCAGGGGUCUCUACUGCAUAGAAAUUAGUUGGCAGCCUUGGCACUCAAAGUGCUCGGCCAGGGCCAUUUAAUAUAGAAGGACCUGGGAGUUUUGGGUUCUUUGACAAUGCAUAUUUCAGUGGUUUAAGAAUUUGGCACAGGUGGCUGGGCAUGGCGGCUCACAUCUCUGAGUGACCUGGGUUCAAAUUCUAGCUGUUAUUCAGCAUGGGAUUCAAAAGUAGGGACAUAACCCCACCUCCUCACUGGUGAGGUGGGAGCAGAGAAUGACAUCCUGGCACACACUGUGCCUUGGAGGGGGCCUCCCUGAGCAUCUCAGAGGGGGCUCAUGAUGGAUCUGGCACUCAUGGGUUGGGUGCUGUGGGGUGAGGUAGGGAAAGCCCAGCUGAGCUUGGGACCAACCCUGGGCUUCGUGGGAAUCUGAAGUCCCUUUCCUAGGGGCCUCUCUGGUCCCUCGGGGCCUGUAUGUGCCAUCUCCAAGCUGUGUUUACCAUGGGCCAGAUCACAACCUGUCUGAAUCAGUGUUCUCACAUAAAAAUCAGAAAGACUGAUCCCAGCACUUUGGGAGGCCAAAGCAGGCGGAUCAUGAGGUC
This 2668-nucleotide long non-coding RNA is filed under the name Homo sapiens (human). Its description in RNAcentral is "HSALNT0256941". Lineage: Eukaryota; Metazoa; Chordata; Mammalia; Primates; Hominidae. The record is from RNAcentral.